CAGGAUUCCCUCAGUAGCGGCGAGCGAACAGGGAACAGCCCAGCACCGAAUCCCGCGGCCGCCAAGGACGCCGGGAAAUGUGGUGUUCGGGAGGAUCCGCGAUCCCGAGGUCGUUCGGCCAGUCCAAGUCCUUCUUGAACGGGGCCAUUUACCCGCAGAGGGUGCCAGGCCCGUAGAGACGGCCGACGUCAGCGGGAGGGUCCGUCCCUAGAGUCGGGUUGCUUGAGAGUGCAGCCCUAAGCGGGUGGUAAACUCCAUCUAAGGCUAAAUAUCACCACGAGACCGAUAGCGAACAAGUACCGUGAGGGAAAGUUGAAAAGAACUUUGAAGAGAGAGUUCAAUAGUACGUGAAACCGUCCAGGGGUAAACCCGAGAAGCCCGAAAGUUCGAUGGGGGAGAUUCAACCGCGUCUCGGCAAUGCGCACGAGCCGCGUCGAUGCGACGGCCCGUCCUUCGGGACGGGACGCGCCCGGCGUCCGUGCGCACGUCGAACGCGUGCACUUCUCCCCCCGUAGGACGUCGCGACCCGUCGGCGGCGGGUCUGAGGGCCGCGGUGGAGCCCGGCGGGAACGACACCCGUCGUMUCCGCCGGACCCGCGAGUCCCGACCCGCCAAGCCCGACGGUAGACUCGAGGCGAGGGGCCGCCGCUUUUGGCGUCCGGCCCGUCGCGAGCGCGGACGGUCGUCCGCCGGUCGGACCUGGUGCCGACCGCGGGCCCGUCUCGCUGCCGGCGACGGUAGCCUCGGACAGACCCCGAAUCGCCGGUCGGCGACGCUUUAGCUUUGGGCACUUUCGGGACCCGUCUUGAAACACGGACCAAGGAGUCUAGCAUGUGCGCGAGUCAUUGGGAGACUCUAAACCUAAAGGCGCAAUGAAAGUGAAGGUCCGCCUAGCGCGGACCGAGAGAGGAUGGGCGUCGGUCCUAGGACCGCGCCCCGCACUCCCGGGGCGUCUCGUGCUCAUCGCGAGCUGAGGCGCACCAGGAGCGUACACGCUGGGACCCGAAAGAUGGUGAACUAUGCCUGGUCAGGACGAAGUCAGGGGAAACCCUGAUGGAGGUCCGUAGCGAUUCUGACGUGCAAAUCGAUCGUCGGAACUGGGUAUAGGGGCGAAAGACUAAUCGAACCGUCUAGUAGCUGGUUCCCUCCGAAGUUUCCCUCAGGAUAGCUGGCGCUCGCUUUGCGAGUCUCAUCCGGUAAAGCGAAUGAUUAGAGGCAUUGGGGUCGAAACGGCCUCAACCUAUUCUCAAACUUUAAAUGGGUGAGAUCUCCGGCUUGCUCGAUUGAAGCCGCGAGAUUCGGAUCAGAG
RNAcentral lists this ribosomal RNA (1309 nucleotides) under Rhyzopertha dominica (lesser grain borer). RNAcentral's name for it is "eukaryotic LSU rRNA". It matches the Rfam family "Eukaryotic large subunit ribosomal RNA", at positions 70 to 1119 of the family's 3401-position model. Lineage: Eukaryota; Metazoa; Arthropoda; Insecta; Coleoptera; Bostrichidae. The record is from RNAcentral.